UUUCCGUAGGUGAACCUGCGGAAGGAUCAUUAUUGUAUAACCGAGGUGCGAGGGCUGUCGCUGACCCGAAAGGUCGUGCACGCCCGAGUGCCCUCACACACAUCCAUCUCACCCCUAUGUGCACCACCGCGUGGGUCCCCCUUUGGCUUGUUCGGAGGGGGGCUUACGUUUUCACACAAACUUUGUAUGCAGUGUAGAAUGUAUUUUUUGUUUUUGCGAUCACGCAAUCAAUACGACUUUCAACAACGGAUCUCUUGGCUCUU
This 263-nucleotide unclassified non-coding RNA is filed under the name plant metagenome. Its description in RNAcentral is "partial contains small subunit ribosomal RNA, internal transcribed spacer 1, and 5.8S ribosomal RNA". The record is from RNAcentral.